UAAAAUAAAAUAAAAUAAAACAAAUGAGAACAAUCCAAUAAAAUUUCUAUUCGCUUAUGAAAACCUUGAGGGAGGAAAAGAGAUCUCAUUUAGCCUCUUAGAAAAAAUUCAAGAAUCAUAUAUUCCAAUAGUCAUUUUCUCUAAAAACUGAGCAUUUUCUACGUGGUGUAUGGAUAAAUUAGUGAAAAUAAUUGAAUGCAGGGAGAAGAUGGGGCAGAUAGCUUUUUAACAUGUAUCCAUCUCAUGUUCAAGAAUUGAGAGAGUUUUGAGAAGCACUUGAUAAGGAUAGACAACAAUCUAAUGUUUGGGUAGCUAAGGUGGAGAAUUGGACUCGAGCUUUAACACAAGCAACUAGCUAAGGUGGAGAAUUGUGCUCAAGCUUCAACACAAUCAGUAACGUAACUCCCGCUUAGUUUGCAUGCUUUCCAACAAAAUCAUGUCAAAUAAGGAUAUGUAAAGCUAUCAAAAAGGGCAAUAACCUGUGCUUAAGGUAUUCCGUUAGCUAUUAGAAUUUUAGGCUCCACUCUAUAGAUAACCACAAUAUGCAACUGUACAGUGUAUACUGUUUAAUGAUAUGACAGUCAACGAUGCUGGCUAACCUUAUAAAGAUAUAACAUUAGUAUCAAUGUCUUUGCCACUUGGAGAGGAAAACGACAUGUUCUUUGCCACUGAUUAGUGAGUGAUGGUAUUUAUACCAAGAGGGAAAUCAUAUCCACUGCCGAGCACCUUAAAAGCAACAUGAGGUGUUUGAUCUUCUUCAUGUUUCAGUCUUUUAUAGGGAGGCUCCUCCUCCUCCUCUACAUGGAUACCACACUUAACAAUCCCAUUGUAACUGCGUCCUUUAUUGAUAUACUCAACAAAAAAUUGAAAGACCAUGCUAUUCUCUCUGAAAUUAAGAGAAGAACGCCAAAAGAAGAUGUGUUCUGAAUGAAGAAUGAUUUUAUCCUUCGCACGGAGAUGAACAUUAACACAGUCCAAUUUAGCCCAAUAGUAGUCAAAUUGAUGUUGGCUAUGUCCAGACUCAUUUAUGGAAUGGACUGUACAUCCAAUUCUUUUGACAUGACAAGGAUGACAAACUUUGGGGUCAAAAACAACAAAAAAUGUGAAAUAGGUAGAUUUCACCUGCUUCAGUUGUGUAAAUGACAGAAAGAAAGAAGAUCCACAGUCAUUCUGAUACUUGAUCCAUUGUGGCACUUGACUUCCAGGAAAACAAAACUCCUGUGCCACGUGAAAAUCUUGUUACUCAUUUAAUAUAUAUUAUGAUAAACUCUACCAACAAUAUGAAAAAAAAUAAAAAAUAACACACUAAAAGGUCUUAUGAUACAGAGAAAGAAAGAGAGAUAUACCACUCCCCUUCGCCAAGGAGUUUGCAGUAAAUGGUCCACAAUUUUAUUACGUUCAUCAACAUCCAAAUUGAUGCAGUUCUCAAAUUCUAAAAUUUUAAUAGUCUGGAGUUGGAAUAAACUGGAUGCUGACUCAAGACAAGUGCAAUUUGUUGCACAUAAUUUGAGGAGAGAUGGAAGCUCCGGUAAAUAUUUUAGUCUCUUGCAAUCACUUAAAUCAAGUUCAACUAGUCUUGAAAGUUGUUUGAUGGUAUCAGGUAUUUUCUCGAAAUUAUUUCCACCUAUGAACAAAUGUUUCAAUGACACUAUAUGGCAAAGAGUGUUGGGAAAUUCUAAUAAGCCACACAACUCUAGAUUAACCUCCUCUAGAAGGGGAAUCCCUGCCAAAGCAGGGAUUAUCAAACCUUCACAUCUCCUAAAAUUUAAUGUUCUCAAAUUUCUUAACCGAUUGAUAGAAGAUGGUAGUCUUUUUAUCCCAGUGCCAGGUGCCAUAACAAGCUCCAAAGAUUCUAAAUUCCCAAAGCUCUCUGGCAGUCCAUGCAGAACUAUGCAGUGACCAAUGUAAAUAAUUCUAAGUUCUUUCAGAUUGCCAAAGCUGUCUGGUAAUUCUUUUAUACCAGUGCCAUGUGCACCAAGCUCCUCUAGAGAUUCCAAAUUA
Molecule: unclassified non-coding RNA, 2001 nt
Filed under: Hevea brasiliensis (rubber tree)
Lineage: Eukaryota; Viridiplantae; Streptophyta; Magnoliopsida; Malpighiales; Euphorbiaceae
Source: RNAcentral